This 1030-nucleotide ribosomal RNA is filed under the name uncultured bacterium. Its description in RNAcentral is "bacterial SSU rRNA". It matches the Rfam family "Bacterial small subunit ribosomal RNA", at positions 94 to 1120 of the family's 1533-position model. The record is from RNAcentral.
AGUGGCGGACGGGUGAGUAAUGCCUGGGAAACUGCCCGAUGGAGGGGGAUAACCACUGGAAACGGUAGCUAAUACCGCAUAACGUCUUCGGACCAAAGUGGGGGACCUUCGGGCCUCACACCAUCGGAUGUGCCCAGGUGGGAUUAGCUAGUAGGUGGGGUAAUGGCUCACCUAGGCGACGAUCCCUAGCUGGUCUGAGAGGAUGACCAGCCACACUGGAACUGAGACACGGUCCAGACUCCUACGGGAGGCAGCAGUGGGGAAUAUUGCACAAUGGGCGCAAGCCUGAUGCAGCCAUGCCGCGUGUAUGAAGAAGGCCUUCGGGUUGUAAAGUACUUUCAGUGGGGAGGAAGGCGAUGAGGUUAAUAGCCUCGUCGAUUGACGUUACCCGCAGAAGAAGCACCGGCUAACUCCGUGCCAGCAGCCGCGGUAAUACGGAGGGUGCAAGCGUUAAUCGGAAUUACUGGGCGUAAAGCGCACGCAGGCGGUCUGUCAAGUCGGAUGUGAAAUCCCCGGGCUCAACCUGGGAACUGCAUUCGAAACUGGCAGACUAGAGUCUUGUAGAGGGGGGUAGAAUUCCAGGUGUAGCGGUGAAAUGCGUAGAGAUCUGGAGGAAUACCGGUGGCGAAGGCGGCCCCCUGGACAAAGACUGACGCUCAGGUGCGAAAGCGUGGGGAGCAAACAGGAUUAGAUACCCUGGUAGUCCACGCCGUAAACGAUGUCGACUUGGAGGUUGUGCCCUUGAGGCGUGGCUUCCGGAGCUAACGCGUUAAGUCGACCGCCUGGGGAGUACGGCCGCAAGGUUAAAGCUCAAAUGAAUUGACGGGGGCCCGCACAAGCGGUGGAGCAUGUGGUUUAAUUCGAUGCAACGCGAAGAACCUUACCUGGCCUUGACAUCCACGGGAUUCGGCAGAGAUGCCUUAGUGCCUUCGGGAACCGUGAGACAGGUGCUGCAUGGCUGUCGUCAGCUCGUGUUGUGAAAUGUUGGGUUAAGUCCCGCAACGAGCGCAACCCUUAUCCUUUGUUGCCA